AGGAGGAUUGCUAGGCUUGAGGAGAGAAGAAGGACGUGGCAAGCUGCGAUAAGCUCGGGGUAGGCGCACGCAUCCUAUGAUCCCGAGAUGUCCGAAUGAGAAUCUUACACUUUUGUGUACUCCAUUACAAUGGUGAUGGAGAUCGAACCGUGGGAAUUGAAGCAUCUUAGUACCACGAGGAAAAGAAAUCAAUUGAGAUUUCCCAAGUAGUGGCGAACGAAAAGGAAAUAGCCCAAACUGAAUCCUUCGGGAGAUGUGGUGUUUUGGUAUGAUAAUAUGGAAUCCUGGAUCCCAGUUGAAGUAAUCUGGAACGUUAUGGCAUAGAGGGUGAUACCCCCGUAAACGAAGUGUGAAGGGUCCUAUUCAUACCAGAGUAGUUGUCCUUGGUAGUGGGCAAUGAAUAUGGGUGAAAGUAGCAUCCGAGGCUAAAUAUCUCUCAAGACCGAUAGUGGACUAGUACCGUGAGGGAAAGCUGAAAAGUACCCCGGAAGGGGGGUGAAAAGUGCAUGAAACCUAUUGGUUACAGACGUGCGUGGCAUGAAAGGUGAUUCUUUCAGAUUGGAGGUUCUAGCAAUAGAGCUAAAGAUUUGAUGUCCAAAUCAUCAGUGUCACGCGUUCCGUCUCGAAACACGGGCCAGGGAGCUAACCGUCAUGGCAAGCUUAAACCCUUAAAGGUGAAAGCGAAGGGAAACCGAGUUCUCGCAGCAUUGUGAGGAGAAGCGUGUGAAAGUGCGUUAAGUCAUGGCGGCUAGGCUAGAAGCCAGUCGAUCUAUUCCUGAGCAAGAUGAAGGCGGGCGAAAGCCCGCUGGAGGUCUGAAGCAGUUCUGACGUGCAAAUCGUUUGUGUGACUUGGGAAUAGGGGUCAAAAACCAAUCUAGACUGGCGCUCGCUAGUUCCAACCGAAGCGUCUCGCAGGGCGUGCUUUGUGGAGAUAGUGUUUCCGGUAGAGCACUGAUAGGACGGCGCGGGGAAGAGAUUCCUCACCGUCCAUUCAAACUCCGAACGGAUAUACAUCGUAGAAGCAAGGACACGGGUUCAUGUGGCGUAAGGCUCAUGACCGAAAGGGGUUUAACCCAGACUGAAGUUAAGGUCCCCAAAUUUUUGCUAAGUGUCAAGCCAAAGAGUGUGUUCUCGCCAAGACAGCAGGGAGGCCUUUAAAAAGUGUGUAACAACUUACCUGCCGAGGGGGGAUGCCUCAAAAACGGACGGGGCUAAAGCAAAGUACCGAUACUUUAGAUAAUCAUCAGUGGAUGAUUCGUGGUAGGUUGGCGUAGUGAUUGGGUCGAAGCAGGGCGGUGACGUCCUGUGGACCGGUUUCUAUUGCAGAUCCUGGCGGCAGUAACAGCAUAGUAUUGUGAGAAACAAUACCACCGCAAGCGUAAGGGUUUCCAGGCAAUGCGUUAUCAGCCUGGAGGUAGUCGAUCCUAAGGUUUACCUCAACAGAGUAAAUCGAAUGGGAAACUAGUUAAUAUUCUAGUACCUUGCAUGGAGCGUUUGAGCUAUAUGAUUCGCUUUCGGAUAGGGAUUGUAUAACCAUCGUUAUAUCUAACUGUUCGAGGGUUGGGGAGUGUCGUAAUGACGAGAACCAACCCGAGACGGGAAUGGCUCCGCGUUAGCGGAGUUUCCUUGAGUCCAAGAGACCAUGAAAGAUUGUGUAGUAAGCAAAGUGCAAGCUCGUACCCAGAACCGACACAGGUGCGCUGGCUUAGAAAGCUAAGGUGCUACGGGUAUACCGUAUGGCGAGGGAAUUCGGCAAAAUAGUCCUGUAGCUUAGGUACAAGGGAUGCCUGCGGUCUUCAUGAGGAAUGGGGAUCGCAGGUUGCAAUUACAAGGGGGUCCCGACUGUUUAAUAAAAACACAGGCGACUGCUAGUCCGAAAGGAUUUGUAUAGUCGCUGAAUCCUGGCCGGUGCCGGUACCUAAAACUUGGGUUCAACCGAGCUAAGGGCCGGUUAACGCCGGGAGUAACUCUGACUCUCUUAAG
This 1983-nucleotide ribosomal RNA is filed under the name Nitrosopumilaceae archaeon. Its description in RNAcentral is "partial 23S ribosomal RNA". It matches the Rfam family "Archaeal large subunit ribosomal RNA", at positions 23 to 2032 of the family's 2987-position model. The record is from RNAcentral. Lineage: Archaea; Thermoproteati; Nitrososphaerota; Nitrososphaeria; Nitrosopumilales; Nitrosopumilaceae.